AGCGAACGCUGGCGGAAUGCUUUACACAUGCAAGUCGAACGGUAGAGGGGGCAACCCCUCGAGAGUGGCGAACGGGUGAGUAAUAUAUCGGAACGUGCCCAGUCGUGGGGGAUAACGUAGCGAAAGUUACGCUAAUACCGCAUACGAUCUACGGAUGAAAGCGGGGGACCGUAAGGCCUCGCGCGAUUGGAGCGGCCGAUAUCAGAUUAGGUAGUUGGUGGGGUAAAGGCUCACCAAGCCAACGAUCUGUAGCUGGUCUGAGAGGACGACCAGCCACACUGGAACUGAGACACGGUCCAGACUCCUACGGGAGGCAGCAGUGGGGAAUUUUGGACAAUGGACGCAAGUCUGAUCCAGCCAUUCCGCGUGCAGGAUGAAGGCCCUCGGGUUGUAAACUGCUUUUGUACGGAACGAAAAGGUUUCCAUUAAUACUGGGAGCUCAUGACGGUACCGUAAGAAUAAGCACCGGCUAACUACGUGCCAGCCGCCGCUGUAA
RNAcentral lists this ribosomal RNA (496 nucleotides) under uncultured bacterium. RNAcentral describes it as "partial 16S ribosomal RNA". It matches the Rfam family "Bacterial small subunit ribosomal RNA", at positions 29 to 523 of the family's 1533-position model. The record is from RNAcentral.